UUCGUCACACCUUAUACCUUCGUCAACUUCAAGCUUCGUCAACUUCAAGCUUCGUCGACUUUGUUCAGACUUAAGCUUCGUCGACUUUGUUCAACUUCAAGCUUCGUCGACUUUGUUCAACUUCAAGCUUCAUUAAGCUUCAUCGACUUUGUUCAACUUCAAGCUUCGUCGACUUUGUUCAACAUACAUCACGGCCCAAUAGAUUUUAAAAGGUAUUAUCAUUCAUAUAUCAAAUAUGAGUACUACAAGUCCAUGGGAUUGGAGUACGGACCCACGACCAGGUCAAGAUCAGACUUCGGCAGCCGGAUGGUUAAGAAAUGUAGUGCCUCAAUAAUCGAUUAGUGAGAGUCAAUGGGCAUUGGUGACGAACCAGAAUCAAAGCAUUCAAAAUCUAUUGAUAAGUAAGAGCGAAACGGGAAGCAAUAAUCGCCCGCCAGGUCAAGAUCAGACUUUAUGUGGACGCGACUCGACUCGGUUCGAUUCGGUUCGGUUCGACUCGGUUAGGUUCGGCUCAAGCCCGACGUCACAACAUUCCUCCGUCGUACGCCCCAGAGUUCGACACGCGAAGCACGGAGAGCCGCGAACCGUUCCCGCCGACACAUCAUCAUGACAUCACCAUGAUGAUGUCAUGAUGACAUCAUGAUGAUCUCAUGAGAAGACUUUACAUUUACAUGAAAUGAACAUGACGAAGGUUACAUGAAAGCAACAUGAUGAAGGUUCAACCUUCACCAACCUUCACCAUGAACAUAUAUGACGAAGGUUGAAUGCCAUAUAGGACGAAGGUUAGACCUUCGUCAUACAUAACCUUCGUCUGAGAAGGUUCGUCAAGUGGACAGUAUAUAUAGCACAGAUGUUAACAGUUUUAGUCAUGAGAUUAUUGUGAGACUCCACGAGAGCUGAGAGACUUGUGAGAGUUUAUUGUACAAGCAUUGUGUGUAUAUGUUUGUGAAUGUUCUCAUCCAUUAUCGAAGUUAAUCUUUGGUUACUUGCUGAUCCUCCGGGAAAAACGGACCUACAAGAAGCAAGCUCCAAGAAGUUUUUAGAGUAA
This 1048-nucleotide long non-coding RNA is filed under the name Helianthus annuus (common sunflower). RNAcentral describes it as "hypothetical non coding rna". Lineage: Eukaryota; Viridiplantae; Streptophyta; Magnoliopsida; Asterales; Asteraceae. The record is from RNAcentral.